GGAUGUGAAGGCGAUCUGGCUGUGACAUCUGUCACCGCAGUGAUCACCUGGGUUGAUUCGGCUGAUCUUGCUGACAAGUCAGGUGUCCCCUUCCCCAUCACCACUCCAUGUGACCUCCUGAAGCUGUGCCAAAGCUUCCCUGAUAGAGGAGGACCAGUCUUCGGUCACAGAUAUACGAAUAGCCGCACUCCCCUGCUAGAACCUCCAAAACAGCUCUCAAACUUCACUGGGGACUCCUCUCUGCAGGGGUUUUGCCUUUCCUGUUCGCAAG
Unclassified non-coding RNA from Nomascus leucogenys (northern white-cheeked gibbon), 271 nucleotides. Its record names the gene 7SK. It matches the Rfam family "7SK RNA". From Rfam's summary of the family: 7SK was discovered as an abundant small nuclear RNA in the mid-70s but a possible function has only recently been suggested. Two independent studies have found that 7SK RNA binds the CDK9/cyclin T complex (known as elongation factor P-TEFb). Lineage: Eukaryota; Metazoa; Chordata; Mammalia; Primates; Hylobatidae. The record is from Ensembl.